RNAcentral lists this ribosomal RNA (497 nucleotides) under uncultured bacterium. RNAcentral describes it as "partial 16S ribosomal RNA". It matches the Rfam family "Bacterial small subunit ribosomal RNA", at positions 28 to 507 of the family's 1533-position model. The record is from RNAcentral.
GAUGAACGCUGGCGGCGUGCCUAAUACAUGCAAGUCGAGCGAACGGACGAGAAGCUUGCUUCUCUGAUGUUAGCGGCGGACGGGUGAGUAACACGUGGAUAACCUACCUAUAAGACUGGGAUAACUUCGGGAAACCGGAGCUACUACCGGAUAAUAUUUUGAACCGCAUGGUUCAAAAGUGAAAGACGGUCUUGCUGUCACUUAUAGAUGAAUCCGCGCUGCAUUAGCUAGUUGGUAAGGUAACGGCUUACCAAGGCAACGAUGCAUAGCCGACCUGAGAGGGUGAUCGGACACACGGGAACUGAGAAACGGUCCAGACUCCUACGGGAGGCAGCAGUAGGGAAUCUUCCGCAAUGGGCGAAAGCCUGACGGAGCAACGCCGCGUGAGUGAUGAAGGUCUUCGGAUCGUAAAACUCUGUUAUUAGUGAAGAACAUAUGUGUAAGUAACUGUGCACAUCUUGACGGUACCUAAUCAGAAAGCCACGGCUAACUACGUG